AUUGAACGCUGGCGGCAUGCCUUACACAUGCAAGUCGAACGGCAGCACGGGAGCAAUCCUGGUGGCGAGUGGCGAACGGGUGAGUAAAGUAUCGGAACGUGCCCAGUCGUGGGGGAUAACGUAGCGAAAGUUACGCUAAUACCGCAUACGAUCUAUGGAUGAAAGCGGGGGAUCGCAAGACCUCGCGCGAUUGGAGCGGCCGAUAUCAGAUUAGGUAGUUGGUGGGGUAAAGGCUCACCAAGCCGACGAUCUGUAGCUGGUCUGAGAGGACGACAAGCCACACUGGGACUGAGACACGGCCCAGACUCCUACGGGAGGCAGCAGUGGGGGAUUUUGGACAAUGGGCGAAAGCCUGAUCCAGCCAUGCCGCGUGCAGGAUGAAGGCCUUCGGGUUGUAAACUGCUUUUGUACGGAACGAAAAGGUUUGGCCUAAUAAGCUGAGCUCAUGACGGUACCGUAAGAAUAAGCACCGGCUAACUACGUGCCAGCCGCCGCAGUAA
This 500-nucleotide ribosomal RNA is filed under the name uncultured bacterium. RNAcentral describes it as "partial 16S ribosomal RNA". It matches the Rfam family "Bacterial small subunit ribosomal RNA", at positions 30 to 523 of the family's 1533-position model. The record is from RNAcentral.